AAACCCAGAAAUUCAACUUGAAUUGCAAAGCCAAAAUCUUCAAAACGAACUUAGGAAAUCAAUAAUUGCUAGGGUUGCAAUUUAAUCUCCAAAGUAACCAAGUAAAACUAGAAUAAUAAUCUCUAACCCCCAAAAACGAGGUUUACAUGCCCUAUUUAUUGAAAACAAAUCCUAAAUUAAAAGGGAAACAAAUUAAGGAAAGUUUGUUCAAGCACGCGUCUUCAUUCCACGAGACUGACUUACGGACCGUCAAUGGAUCUACGGUCCGUAAGUCCCUUCCGUCAACCAGGACUUAGAAAAUAUUUCAGCUUCCAAAAAUCAGCUUCUCUGAAGCAAACGAUAGACUUACAGUACGGACCAUAGAUCGAUCUACGGUUCGUCAAUAUCCUUCGUAGCUCCACACUUGGAAUCUUCAAAAAUCAGGUACUAGAACCCUCGCAGUAUCAAUCUACGGAUCAACAGUACGGUCCGUAAAUCAAUCUACGGACCGUCAAUGGCCACCGUGGUUCCACACUUGGUCAGAUUUCCCUGAUUUGUCUUCCAUACCUUGCCAACUAAUCUACGGUCAUCACCUACGGACCUUCAAUGGACCUACGGUCCGUAGAUCACCUCCGUGAAUGCCCUUUUUCUGCAUUUCUUUCAGCUAUCUCUAUACUUCCGCGCCUGAACAUCUUUCCUGCAAAAUAUGAUAAAAACACAUAAAAACCAAUACAAAAAGGCCCUAGACACACACAACUUGUAAGUGAACUGUAUUAGAAAUACCGUAAAACUCACGGUAUAUCACAUACCUCAAAGAACUAGGUUCUUGGUGAAAUCUUGAAUUUCUUGAAUGAACGCUUGAAACUUUGAACUUUUUCUCCUCUUGAAUCUUCUCUCUAAAAAUCCUAAACUCUUUGGGGAUGAAUGAAAUUGAUUCUAAUCAGUUUAGACCCUUAAUUGGGUGAAAUUCGCGUUUAGAAUAAGUGGGGGUAAGAAAAAGACUAAAUUACCCGGUCCUAUUCUCGGGUAACUUUCCUUAAAUGGAUAGCCUGACUUCAAAAGGGCAUAUCUCCUUCAUACGAGCUUGAAAAUUAGCACUCUCGGUGGCGUUGGAAAGAGGACUCAAAGAUAUUUCGUUUGAUAUCUUAUGGGUCUCCUAACUCAUUCUGUACUGAAAGUUAUGGUCGUUUGAAGUUGACUCUAAACUUAAAAGAACUAAGGAAUGACUUGAAUGAAUUCUCUUUAAUUCUUUUUGGAACUCAAGGUGCUAUAUCUAGUGACCUGACCUUAACACUUAAGAAAUUAUAAAUUCCUUGGUAAAAUCCUACUCACAACGAAGAAGGGUUCGAGUCUUAGUUCAAAAAACUUCUGGAGUGUUACAAUAAUACCUCUCAUCUCUUCAACAUACA
RNAcentral lists this long non-coding RNA (1388 nucleotides) under Solanum tuberosum (potato). Its description in RNAcentral is "long non-coding RNA (STUB_LNC003566)". Lineage: Eukaryota; Viridiplantae; Streptophyta; Magnoliopsida; Solanales; Solanaceae. The record is from RNAcentral.